This 442-nucleotide ribosomal RNA is filed under the name uncultured Oscillibacter sp. RNAcentral's name for it is "bacterial SSU rRNA". It matches the Rfam family "Bacterial small subunit ribosomal RNA", at positions 338 to 795 of the family's 1533-position model. Lineage: Bacteria; Bacillati; Bacillota; Clostridia; Eubacteriales; Oscillospiraceae. The record is from RNAcentral.
CCUACGGGAGGCUGCAGUGGGGAAUAUUGGGCAAUGGGCGCAAGCCUGACCCAGCAACGCCGCGUGAAGGAAGAAGGCUUUCGGGUUGUAAACUUCUUUUAAGGGGGAAGAGCAGAAGACGGUACCCCUUGAAUAAGCCACGGCUAACUACGUGCCAGCAGCCGCGGUAAUACGUAGGUGGCAAGCGUUGUCCGGAUUUACUGGGUGUAAAGGGCGUGCAGCCGGAGAGGCAAGUCAGAUGUGAAAUCCGCGGGCUCAACCCGCGAACUGCAUUUGAAACUGCUUCCCUUGAGUAUCGGAGAGGUAACCGGAAUUCCUAGUGUAGCGGUGAAAUGCGUAGAUAUUAGGAAGAACACCAGUGGCGAAGGCGGGUUACUGGACGACAACUGACGGUGAGGCGCGAAAGCGUGGGGAGCAAACAGGAUUAGAUACCCGGGUAGUC